RNAcentral lists this ribosomal RNA (116 nucleotides) under Escherichia coli O177:NM str. 2010C-4558. The record is from RNAcentral. Lineage: Bacteria; Pseudomonadati; Pseudomonadota; Gammaproteobacteria; Enterobacterales; Enterobacteriaceae.
CCUGGCGGCCGUAGCGCGGUGGUCCCCCCUGACCCCAUGCCGAACUCAGAAGUGAAACGCCGUAGCGCCGAUGGUAGUGUGGGGUUUCCCCAUGCGAGAGUAGGGAACUGCCAGGC